UUGACUGUGAAUUUGUUACCUUCUGUGCUGGCUCCGGCAAGUGCACGUUGGUGACUUUCAUUCCCAACACCCUUGUGAACCUUUGGCCUCUUGCUAGCCCCGGCUGGCAGAGGAUUUUUUACACACUCGAAUGUAAUGAAAAACCUCUUGUUGUGCGCAAGCACUAAUGUA
Molecule: unclassified non-coding RNA, 171 nt
Filed under: uncultured Sebacina
Lineage: Eukaryota; Fungi; Basidiomycota; Agaricomycetes; Sebacinales; Sebacinaceae
Description: sequence contains ITS1
Source: RNAcentral